GGUUAAGCGACUAAGCGUACACGGUGGAUGCCCUGGCAGUCAGAGGCGAUGAAGGACGUGCUAAUCUGCGAAAAGCGUCGGUAAGGUGAUAUGAACCGUUAUAACCGGCGAUGUCCGAAUGGGGAAACCCAGUGUGUUUCGACACACUAUCAUUAACUGAAUCCAUAGGUUAAUGAGGCGAACCGGGGGAACUGAAACAUCUAAGUACCCCGAGGAAAAGAAAUCAACCGAGAUUCCCCCAGUAGCGGCGAGCGAACGGGGAGGAGCCCAGAGCCUGAAUCAGUGUGUGUGUUAGUGGAAGCGUCUGGAAAGGCGUGCGAUACAGGGUGACAGCCCCGUACACAAAAAUGCACAUGCUGUGAGCUCGAUGAGUAGGGCGGGACACGUGGUAUCCUGUCUGAAUAUGGGGGGACCAUCCUCCAAGGCUAAAUACUCCUGACUGACCGAUAGUGAACCAGUACCGUGAGGGAAAGGCGAAAAGAACCCCGGCGAGGGGAGUGAAAAAGAACCUGAAACCGUGUACGUACAAGCAGUGGGAGCCCUGAUUUAUCAGGGUGACUGCGUACCUUUUGUAUAAUGGGUCAGCGACUUAUAUUCUGUAGCAAGGUUAACCGAAUAGGGGAGCCGGAGGGAAACCGAGUCUUAACUGGGCGUUAAGUUGCAGGGUAUAGACCCGAAACCCGGUGAUCUAGCCAUGGGCAGGUUGAAGGUUGGGUAACACUAACUGGAGGACCGAACCGACUAAUGUUGAAAAAUUAGCGGAUGACUUGUGGCUGGGGGUGAAAGGCCAAUCAAACCGGGAGAUAGCUGGUUCUCCCCGAAAGCUAUUUAGGUAGCGCCUCGUGAAUUCAUCUCCGGGGGUAGAGCACUGUUUCGGCAAGGGGGUCAUCCCGACUUACCAACCCGAUGCAAACUGCGAAUACCGGAGAAUGUUAUCACGGGAGACACACGGCGGGUGCUAACGUCCGUCGUGAAGAGGGAAACAACCCAGACCGCCAGCUAAGGUCCCAAAGUCAUGGUUAAGUGGGAAACGAUGUGGGAAGGCCCAGACAGCCAGGAUGUUGGCUUAGAAGCAGCCAUCAUUUAAAGAAAGCGUAAUAGCUCACUGGUCGAGUCGGCCUGCGCGGAAGAUGUAACGGGGCUAAACCAUGCACCGAAGCUGCGGCAGCGACACUGUGUGUUGUUGGGUAGGGGAGCGUUCUGUAAGCCUGUGAAGGUGUGCUGUGAGGCAUGCUGGAGGUAUCAGAAGUGCGAAUGCUGACAUAAGUAACGAUAAAGCGGGUGAAAAGCCCGCUCGCCGGAAGACCAAGGGUUCCUGUCCAACGUUAAUCGGGGCAGGGUGAGUCGACCCCUAAGGCGAGGCCGAAAGGCGUAGUCGAUGGGAAACAGGUUAAUAUUCCUGUACUUGGUGUUACUGCGAAGGGGGGACGGAGAAGGCUAUGUUGGCCGGGCGACGGUUGUCCCGGUUUAAGCGUGUAGGCUGGUUUUCCAGGCAAAUCCGGAGAAUCAAGGCUGAGGCGUGAUGACGAGGCACUACGGUGCUGAAGCAACAAAUGCCCUGCUUCCAGGAAAAGCCUCUAAGCAUCAGGUAACAUCAAAUCGUACCCCAAACCGACACAGGUGGUCAGGUAGAGAAUACCAAGGCGCUUGAGAGAACUCGGGUGAAGGAACUAGGCAAAAUGGUGCCGUAACUUCGGGAGAAGGCACGCUGAUGGUAGGUGAAGCGACUUGCUCGUGGAGCUGAAAUCAGUCGAAGAUACCAGCUGGCUGCAACUGUUUAUUAAAAACACAGCACUGUGCAAACACGAAAGUGGACGUAUACGGUGUGACGCCUGCCCGGUGCCGGAAGGUUAAUUGAUGGGGUCAGCGCAAGCGAAGCUCUUGAUCGAAGCCCCGGUAAACGGCGGCCGUAACUAUAACGGUCCUAAGGUAGCGAAAUUCCUUGUCGGGUAAGUUCCGACCUGCACGAAUGGCGUAAUGAUGGCCAGGCUGUCUCCACCCGAGACUCAGUGAAAUUGAACUCGCUGUGAAGAUGCAGUGUACCCGCGGCAAGACGGAAAGACCCCGUGAACCUUUACUAUAGCUUGACACUGAACACUGGUCCUUGAUGUGUAGGAUAGGUGGGAGGCUUUGAAGUGUGGACGCCAGUCUGCAUGGAGCCGUCCUUGAAAUACCACCCUUUAAUGGCUGGUGUUCUAACGUGGGCCCGUAAUCCGGGUUGCGGACAGUGUCUGGUGGGUAGUUUGACUGGGGCGGUCUCCUCCUAAAGAGUAACGGAGGAGCACGAAGGUUGGCUAAUCCUGGUCGGACAUCAGGAGGUUAGUGCAAUGGCAUAAGCCAGCUUGACUGCGAGCGUGACGGCGCGAGCAGGUGCGAAAGCAGGUCAUAGUGAUCCGGUGGUUCUGAAUGGAAGGGCCAUCGCUCAACGGAUAAAAGGUACUCCGGGGAUAACAGGCUGAUACCGCCCAAGAGUUCAUAUCGACGGCGGUGUUUGGCACCUCGAUGUCGGCUCAUCACAUCCUGGGGCUGAAGUAGGUCCCAAGGGUAUGGCUGUUCGCCAUUUAAAGUGGUACGCGAGCUGGGUUUAGAACGUCGUGAGACAGUUCGGUCCCUAUCUGCCGUGGGCGCUGGAGAACUGAGGGGGGCUGCUCCUAGUACGAGAGGACCGGAGUGGACGCAUCACUGGUGUUCGGGUUGUCAUGCCAAUGGCACUGCCCGGUAGCUAAAUGCGGAAGAGAUAAGUGCUGAAAGCAUCUAAGCACGAAACUUGCCCCGAGAUGAGUUCUCCCUGAGACUUAGAGUCUCCUGAAGGAACGUUGAAGACGACGACGUUGAUAGGCCGGGUGUGUAAGCGCAGCGAUGCGUUGAGCUAACCGGUACUAAUGAACCGUGAGGCUUAACCUU
RNAcentral lists this ribosomal RNA (2904 nucleotides) under Escherichia albertii. Its description in RNAcentral is "23S ribosomal RNA". It matches the Rfam family "Bacterial large subunit ribosomal RNA". Lineage: Bacteria; Pseudomonadati; Pseudomonadota; Gammaproteobacteria; Enterobacterales; Enterobacteriaceae. The record is from RNAcentral.